This 272-nucleotide ribosomal RNA is filed under the name uncultured bacterium. RNAcentral describes it as "partial 16S ribosomal RNA". It matches the Rfam family "Bacterial small subunit ribosomal RNA", at positions 524 to 794 of the family's 1533-position model. The record is from RNAcentral.
UACGUAGGGUGCGAGCGUUGUCCGGAAUUACUGGGCGUAGAGAGCUCGUAGGUGGUUUGUCGCGUCGUUUGUGGAAUACCGCAGCUUAACUGCGGGGUUGCAGGCGAUACGGGCAUAACUUGAGUGCUGUAGGGGAGACUGGAAUUCCUGGUGUAGCGGUGGAAUGCGCAGAUAUCAGGAGGAACACCGAUGGCGAAGGCAGGUCUCUGGGCAGUAACUGACGCUGAGGAGCGAAAGCAUGGGGAGCGAACAGGAUUAGAAACCCCAGUAGU